Molecule: ribosomal RNA, 371 nt
Filed under: uncultured organism
Description: bacterial SSU rRNA
Rfam family: Bacterial small subunit ribosomal RNA
Source: RNAcentral
CGUAGGGUGCGAGCGUUAAUCGGAAUUACUGGGCGUAAAGCGUGCGCAGGCGGUUUUGUAAGACAGAUGUGAAAUCCCGGGCUCAACCUGGGACCUGCAUUUGUGACUGCAAGGCUAGAGUACGGUAGAGGGGGAUGGAAUUCCGCGUGUAGCAGUGAAAUGCGUAGAUAUGCGGAGGAACACCGAUGGCGAAGGCAAUCCCCUGGACCUGUACUGACGCUCAUGCACGAAAGCGUGGGGAGCAAACAGGAUUAGAUACCCUGGUAGUCCACGCCCUAAACGAUGUCAACUGGUUGUUGGGUCUUUACUGACUCAGUAACGAAGCUAACGCGUGAAGUUGACCGCCUGGGGAGUACGGCCGCAAAGGUUGA